RNAcentral lists this unclassified non-coding RNA (156 nucleotides) under soil metagenome. RNAcentral's name for it is "partial internal transcribed spacer 1". The record is from RNAcentral.
UAAUAAGUGUUUUUUAUGGCACUUUUUUAAAUCCAUAUCCACCUUGUGUGCAAUGUCAGUCGAUCUUCUUCAUGGAGAUUGGACCAAAACAUCAACCUUUAUUUUUUUAAACUCUUUGUCUGAAAAAAUAUUAUGAAUAAAACAAUUCAAAAAUAC